CUCCGGUACAGGGAAUCGAACCCUGGGCUCCGCGGUACUGAAGUUCUCUCAGGUUAUGAGAGCGCGAAAUGUUAGCCACUACACCAUACCGGA
RNAcentral lists this transfer RNA (93 nucleotides) under Fusarium pseudograminearum CS3220. RNAcentral's name for it is "tRNA-Sec". Lineage: Eukaryota; Fungi; Ascomycota; Sordariomycetes; Hypocreales; Nectriaceae. The record is from RNAcentral.